Molecule: ribosomal RNA, 253 nt
Filed under: uncultured bacterium
Lineage: Bacteria
Description: partial 16S ribosomal RNA
Rfam family: Bacterial small subunit ribosomal RNA
Source: RNAcentral
UACGAAGGGGGCUAGCGUUGCUCGGAAUCACUGAGCGUAAAGGGCGCGUAGGCGGCCUGAUAAGUAGGGGGUGAAAUCCUGUGGCUCGACUGCAGGGCUGCCUCCUAGACUGUCGGGCUUGAGCACGGUAGAGGCAGAUGGAAUUCCCGGUGUAGCGGUGGAAUGCGUAGAGAUCGGGAAGAACAUCGGUGGCGAAGGCGGUCUGCUGGGCCGUUGCUGACGCUGAGGCGCGACAGCGUGGGGAGCAAACAGG